GACGAGCGCUGGCGGCGUGCCUAAUACAUGCAAGUUGAGCGCUGAAGGUUGGUACUUGUACCAACUGGAUGAGCAGCGAACGGGUGAGUAACGCGUGGGGAAUCUGCCUUUGAGCGGGGGACAACAUUUGGAAACGAAUGCUAAUACCGCAUAAAAACUUUAAACACAAGUUUUAAGUUUGAAAGAUGCAAUUGCAUCACUCAAAGAUGAUCCCGCGUUGUAUUAGCUAGUUGGUGAGGUAAAGGCCCACCAAGGCGAUGAUACAUAGCCGACCUGAGAGGGUGAUCGGACACAUUGGGACUGAGACACGGCCCAAACUCCUACGGGAGGCAGCAGUAGGGAAUCUUCGGCAAUGGACGAAAGUCUGACCGAGCAACGCCGCGUGAGUGAAGAAGGUUUUCGGAUCGUAAAACUCUGUUGGUAGAGAAGAACGUUGGUGAGAGUGGAAAGCUCAUCAAGUGACGGUAACUACCCAGAAAGGGACGGCUAACUACGUGCCAGCCGCCGCCGUAA
This 513-nucleotide ribosomal RNA is filed under the name uncultured bacterium. Its description in RNAcentral is "partial 16S ribosomal RNA". It matches the Rfam family "Bacterial small subunit ribosomal RNA", at positions 28 to 523 of the family's 1533-position model. The record is from RNAcentral.